Long non-coding RNA from Xenopus tropicalis (tropical clawed frog), 2887 nucleotides. RefSeq lists it as uncharacterized. Lineage: Eukaryota; Metazoa; Chordata; Amphibia; Anura; Pipidae. The record is from RefSeq and is a predicted model, not a curated record. The transcript is spliced from 5 exons.
UUACACUGUUGUGUGACUUUUGUUAUUUCAUUGAUUUGCACAAUUUAUGUUGUUUUCCAGGGUAAACGAAAAGUCCCCCCGAGGAAAGGCUCCUAAAGUGCAAUAUAUUCAAAAACGUUCUGGCAGCACAAGUCCUGCUUUGACCAAAUCAGCUGGCAGUGAAAGGGUUAAAGAGCAGAAUUAGCAUAGGUUUUGUGGGACAUCCAGGAACCCCAUACAGCAUCAAACUUUUGGGGGCAACCCCUUGCGAGGUUAUUUUUAUACUCUGGUACUUCUUUGUACGUUACAUUCUAUUAAUACUACCAUGGCCUUGAAGGCAGAGCUACCUGCUUUGCUGUAAAAGCAGUUUUUUUGUUUUUAAUAGACAACUUUAUGUUCUCACACUGGUAACUCCUUUUUCACUCCCAUAAUGUUGACUUUGUCAUAUUAAAACUCUGUUGUUCCUUUGUUCUGGGUUCUGACUCUCAGAUGAGCUCUAACACCACAAAGCUCAUGUCAAAUAAACUAUGUCUUUCACAUCAAGUAUCCUCCGGUAACUAAAUUUCCACAACAUUUAUCUAGAAAAAACACAUGGACCAGAAGAAAACUUUUCUCCAAAUUUAAUUCCAUUUUUUUUCAUAUAGAAAAAACAUCAAGAUAAACAGCAAGAUAAAUUUUUCUGAAUUGAACUGCAUUUCAAAUUGAAUCUUAUCAAUGAGUUUUCACGUGAUAAGCCUUUUUCUUAAUUAAUUGAAUUUGACUCAUUGUGUGAGACAUUUGUUAACUGCAGAACCCAGAGUGGGUGAUAUAUUUGAUCACCUGCAUGUAUGGCAAAUCCUAUGUGGGCAAAACAAUCCAUAUUUUUAAAACCAGGCAUUAUAAACAUAUACAAAAUUUUGAGCAAUCACAAAAUAUAAUCGCAGCCCUAUUAGAACGUUCCCUAUUGUAGGCCCAUGCUCCACUCCUAUUUUUGCUCUUAUUAUCGAUCGAUAUACCUUGAACCAGGUGAAUUUCAAGGUGGUGCAUCAAGGAAAGUGGUUCUUUUUGUGACUAUGUUUCUCUCUGGUUCAAUUUCUUUGAAGUAUAAUUUAAUCCUGAUUCAUGGGCAUCAGCAAAUAGGGGCAAUGAGGGGGCACUUCCCCCCCCCCUGGAAUUUUGCACAGUGUUGUUUGGUUGGGGCACAGGUUCUCAGAUGCAGAUGGAAAGUCAGAUCUCUAAGCUGUAUUUUUAUCUUCAUUGGUCCGGCAGGUAGUGAGGAGCAUAGUCGAGAACAGGAACUAGGUCAAACCAGGAAGUUCAGAAAUUUAGAAACAAUGUUUACAAAUGGAACUGUAACACAGGUCUUUUAUUAAAUGUUUAUUACAUUUUUUCUUGAAUAUUCAUACAUUGUUUUUUUUUUUGUAUUUCAACAAGACUUUAUUGGAACAGUAUAUUAAUUGUUACAAUUACAUUUAUAAUAAUUCUUGCAUAAUAAGCUAUAGACAAAUGUAGAUUAAAUUACCGUAGUAUGGAAAAAAAAAAAAGGAGAGAAAAAAAAAAGGCAAGAAUCAUGAAGAGCGCGAAGAGAUAGUUGGAGGAGCCAUGGACUACCUAUGGAGGAAAAAGAAGGGAAGCCAUGUGGGGAACAGACAGAGAGAGAUGAAGAAAAGGGGAAGAAAAAGAAGAGGAGAAGAAGAUAGGAAGCCUGAGGCUGGAGCUGGCUGGCACAUAUACGGUCCAGUUGGAGUUCUUCAUUCCAGGCACGUGUAAAGUAAGGAGUAUUUAAACCAUUCACAUUCAAGGACACAAUUUUCAAGUUACCUGCCAUUGUGUGCGUCAAGAUACGGAAGAGUCGCCAUCAGAAUCAGGCUCACCUCCACCCGCCUCCGCGGUGCUAGGCCCCAUGACGCAUCUUUCUUCCUCAGCGUCGGACGGCAUCAGAAAAUUUUUAAGGAGCUUCUGUGACUCGGUCUGCAGCAGAGCUCCAGAGCUAUGCGUCCAUCCCGUUGAGCAGUUGGCCACGCCCCCGAAUAUUCAUACAUUGUUAUCAUAUUUUCCUUUAAGUGCCUCCUCUCAGGCGUAAAGAACCCCAACAUGGCCAGUUUUUCCUUUUACCAGCUUAGCUGACCUUCUUUGGACUAUAAUUCAAUAAUAUCCUGUUUGAGCACUGGAGAACAAAACUCCAUUGCAUAUUCUAGAAGGGAAAGAAUGACCCUCUCCUGCAGAGAAUCUAUACCCCAUUUAAUAUUCAAAACUUUGUAUGCUCUUGUUAGGGGCAUUUCUGGCCCCCGGCCUUUCAAUGCUGCCGCCCCCUCUGACCUAACACUUACGUUUCCUAGCAUCGGAGCAGGGUGAGGUCGCUAGUGAAGAGAGUGCAACUGCACUCACUGCACUAGAAGAGCCCAAAUUCUAAUUUAAAAAUUGGAAUUUUGGCUCUUAAAGUUACCAGGAGAGGCUUUUUGUCGCCCUGUUAACUUGCAGCCUGCUACUGCCUGAGGCAAGCUUAGUCAGCCAGAUUUCCAAUUUGUCAAGACCAGAUUGCCAUUUUGUCAAUAAUACUGUAACACAUAUCUAGCUUGAGUAAAGGUUGGGCAAUGAGAGGUAUUUAUUUUUUUUAUUUAAUUUUUGUACAAAACAUGAUGUCAUGACAUUACGGCACAACGGCAAACGUCACAAAGUGAUCAGGGAUCCUGACGCACAGCAGCAACAGGACGAAUGUCACCGUAUACGGAUCUUGGGACUUCCUACCUUUUAGUGCGGGCUGCUGCUGCCUGAGGCAAGCAUAGCCAGCCAGAUUGCCAGUUUGUCAAGACCCUGCUACAAGGAUACCACAUCCUGAAUGGAACUGGACUGCAUAGUUUUAUGUUAUCUGCAAACACUGACACAUUACUAAUCACCAAUUAAUUAAAAAACAAAUAAAAUAAAAGUG